GGAUGCUAAUCUCCGUUGGAGCGGUGUGGAGGCACAAUGCUCCCCAAGAUGCCACUAAGGCCACCGUAAUCUCCUCACGCCCUCGCACAAUGCAAGAUGUCGUGAUUCCACUAAGGGACCCUUGAGGGCGGUCACCGAACCCGUACGAAUGGCAACCCUUGGGGGCGGUCACCGAACCCGUAUACGUGGCAACCCUUGGGGG
This 202-nucleotide long non-coding RNA is filed under the name Hordeum vulgare. RNAcentral describes it as "long non-coding RNA (HVUL_LNC012941)". The record is from RNAcentral. Lineage: Eukaryota; Viridiplantae; Streptophyta; Magnoliopsida; Poales; Poaceae.